CAAGGGCGACUCGGCUGUGUAUCUCUGUGUCAGAAGCUUAGCCACAGUGUGGCACAGUCGUGUCCUUCCUGCUCACA
This is a non-coding RNA of Homo sapiens (human), 77 nucleotides long. NCBI's taxonomy places the organism in Eukaryota, Metazoa, Chordata, Mammalia, Primates, Hominidae. The record is from RefSeq and is marked provisional.